UCAAUGGAGAAGUGCCGCUGCAUCUGUGA
RNAcentral lists this non-coding RNA (29 nucleotides) under Homo sapiens (human). The record is from RNAcentral. Lineage: Eukaryota; Metazoa; Chordata; Mammalia; Primates; Hominidae.